UUAAGAAGAGCGUCAACGAAUCAUUCCAACUCCAGGCGGUUGAGAUCGCUGCUUCCCGCGAAGAGACGACAAAGCUCCAAGCAUCUCUCCAAGAACUCCUUUUACAGGUCAAAGGCAAACAACCGGUGGCUGAUGCAGAGUGUAGUAAAAACCUUGAUCAGAAGGUGGAGUUUGAACGUGGUCAGAGUAAACAUCGUGGAGUUUUUAGGCAGAUCCGAGGACGGACUGUCUUCCGG
Molecule: long non-coding RNA, 236 nt
Filed under: Zostera marina
Lineage: Eukaryota; Viridiplantae; Streptophyta; Magnoliopsida; Alismatales; Zosteraceae
Description: long non-coding RNA (ZMAR_LNC003953)
Source: RNAcentral